CCUACGGGUGGCAGCAGUCGAGAAUCAUUCACAAUGGGGGAAACCCUGAUGGUGCGACGCCGCGUGGGGGAAUGAAGGUCUUCGGAUUGUAAACCCCUGUCAUGUGGGAGCAAAUUAAAAAGAUAGUACCACAAGAGGAAGAGACGGCUAACUCUGUGCCAGCAGCCGCGGUAAUACAGAGGUCUCAAGCGUUGUUCGGAAUCACUGGGCGUAAGGCGUGCGUAGGCUGUUUCGUAAGUCGUGUGUGAAAGGCGCGGGCUCAACCCGCGGACGGCACAUGAUACUGCGAGACUAGAGUAAUGGAGGGGGAACCGGAAUUCUCGGUGUAGCAGUGAAAUGCGUAGAUAUCGAGAGGAACACUCGUGGCGAAGGCGGGUUCCUGGACAUUAACUGACGCUGAGGCACGAAGGCCAGGGGAGCGAAAGGGAUUAGAUACCCGGGUAGC
Molecule: ribosomal RNA, 445 nt
Filed under: uncultured bacterium
Lineage: Bacteria
Description: partial 16S ribosomal RNA
Rfam family: Bacterial small subunit ribosomal RNA
Source: RNAcentral